CUACCUCAAACAAAAUAGUCGGGUGCGAGUUGUCCAAAAGAGCCGUUUCGCUCAUAUUGAAUGUGAAAAGUGAUUUUUUGGUUGGUUAUCGUAGAUGGAUCGACCAGUAACUCGAAUCGCGAUGUUGGCAAGCUGGGAUCGGCCUGGUUUGGUCUAGGGAGCCGACGUUGGCUAACACUUCUUUUCGCUCUAUGAAAUUUUGAUUUUUGAAAAUUUAUUUAAAAAUA
Molecule: long non-coding RNA, 227 nt
Organism: Bradysia coprophila
Lineage: Eukaryota; Metazoa; Arthropoda; Insecta; Diptera; Sciaridae
Source: RefSeq, a predicted model, not a curated record